ACAGACCAAACCGAGAAGACCACUAUUGAAGACAAAACCAAGCUCACACAACUUUUUUUCUUCACCAAAAGACUUAGGUUAUUUCACAAGAGUUGUAGAUUUUGGCCUAAGGAGCAAAACUCACCACUUUGUUCACCUAGAAAAGCUCUAGUUUGAUAGAUAUCCUCCUCUUUCAUGUUCGACCAGCCAUGUAUCCAUGGAGCAAGGAUGAGCUUUUGAAGCCUUUAAUCAUGGAAACAUGAUCCUUGGAUGAUUUUGAAGACAUCUAUGUGUUAAGUGGACUAGUUUGUAGACAUUGGAAAGCUUGGAUUGUUGGUGAAUUCACUAGUGCAUCAAUUCGGCCAUUUCUUGAAUGUGAACCUUGGAAGUUUUUUUGAUCUUGGUUGAUGCUUGGAAGCCCCUCUAGGGUCAUUCCAAGUGGUUGUAAGGAAAAAGAGAAGUGAAAAUUACAAAUUAUAAAAAGCCUGUUGACGCAACUCCACACACAGGAAAGUUCCAUGUUACAUCAUGUUGCAUAGGCCAAAGUCCAGAGAAUUGGCGCUAGUUGGCGCCAGAAUGGCGCAAACUAGCGCCACCAUGCCAACCAGUGCCAAGUGAAGCCAACCAGCGCCAAGUGAAGCCAAGUAGCGCCAUUCCAUGCUAAGUGGCGCCAAACCAUGCUAAGUGGCGCCAAACCAUGCCAAGUGGCGCCCAAAAUACAAGAGGUGGCGUCAACUGGCGCCGGUCCACGUAGAAGCAGGUCCGACUUUUCACAAUUGGACAGUAACUCUGCGCGAAGUGGCGCCGUACCGGCGCCAUCUAGCGCCGGGUUGCGAGAAAUUUACUCCGUGUUUUCGGAUGAGUAUUUUUGGAAGAAGAAAAAGAGACUUAUAAAUAGGAUCCUUGUGACAGAAUUAGGCAUUUAGACCUAUUCUUCUGAAGAGAGACGACGACAGAGCUCCGAGAGGAUACCUGAGAUCAAGUUCUUCUUCUCUUUUCUCUUUAAUUUUAUGCUAUUGAAUAUUGGAUUUUUAGCCAUGAUUAUGCUUGGCUAGUACUUUUUAUUGUAGUUAGGGUCACAAACCCUAUGUGAACCCUUGUUACUCGGAUUGAUUUACAAUUGCUCGUUUAUAUAAUUAUCUUUAUCUCUACCCUGUUCGUAUUUUAUAUUUUCUUUAUUAGAAUGGAUCACUCUAAUAGUUGAUAAUAGUCUGAGGGUUAGAACUCUAGAUAGGGGAUAUUGGGUUUUCAUCCUGAAAGAGGGUAGGAUAACGGUUCGUAUGCAUGCUAGGAAUAGAUGUGUAUUGAAUUGCGGAUGCCUAAAUUAUAGAGUUCAUCGCUUAAUUUUCAUUAGGGGUUGCUAAGGGAUUAGGAUUCCAAUUGGGGAUUAAAGGGUUAAAUUGC
Molecule: long non-coding RNA, 1383 nt
Organism: Gastrolobium bilobum
Lineage: Eukaryota; Viridiplantae; Streptophyta; Magnoliopsida; Fabales; Fabaceae
Exons: 3
Source: RefSeq, a predicted model, not a curated record